CAGCAGCCGCGGGAAUACGUAGGUGACAAGCGUUGUCCGGAAUUAUUGGGCGUAAAGGGCUCGCAGGCGGUUUCUUAAGUCUGAUGUGAAAGCCCCCGGCUCAACCGGGGAGGGUCAUUGGAAACUGGGAAACUUGAGUGCAGAAGAGGAGAGUGGAAUUCCACGUGUAGCGGUGAAAUGCGUAGAGAUGUGGAGGAACACCAGUGGCGAAGGCGACUCUCUGGUCCGUAACUGACGCUGAGGAGCGAAAGCGUGGGGAGCGAACAGGAUUAGAUACCCCAGUAGUCCCUGUCUCUUAUAC
RNAcentral lists this ribosomal RNA (301 nucleotides) under uncultured bacterium. Its description in RNAcentral is "partial 16S ribosomal RNA". It matches the Rfam family "Bacterial small subunit ribosomal RNA", at positions 509 to 807 of the family's 1533-position model. The record is from RNAcentral.